UACGAGGGGGGCAAAUGUUGUUCGGAAUCACUGGGCGUAAAGGGUGCGUAGGUGGGCAAGUAAGUCAGUGGUGAAAUCUCCGGGCUUAACCCGGAAACUGCCAUUGAUACUAUUUGUCUUGAAUACUGUGGAGGUCAGCGGAAUAUGUCAUGUAGCGGUGAAAUGCUUAGAUAUGACAUAGAACACCAAUUGCGAAGGCAGCUGGCUACACAAAUAUUGACACUGAGGCACGAAAGCGUGGGGAUCAAACAGG
This 253-nucleotide ribosomal RNA is filed under the name uncultured bacterium. RNAcentral describes it as "partial 16S ribosomal RNA". It matches the Rfam family "Bacterial small subunit ribosomal RNA", at positions 524 to 776 of the family's 1533-position model. The record is from RNAcentral.